This 772-nucleotide ribosomal RNA is filed under the name uncultured Neocallimastigales. Its description in RNAcentral is "partial large subunit ribosomal RNA". It matches the Rfam family "Eukaryotic large subunit ribosomal RNA", at positions 18 to 644 of the family's 3401-position model. Lineage: Eukaryota; Fungi; Neocallimastigomycota; Neocallimastigomycetes; Neocallimastigales. The record is from RNAcentral.
UCAGACGAUGCGUCAUGCAUAUCAAUAAGCGGAGGAAAAGAAACUAACAAGGAUUCCCUUAGUAACGGCGAGUGAAGCGGGAAGAGCUCAAAUUUGAAAUCUUCAAGGGUUUACCUUUACGAAUUGUAGCUUAAAGAAGUGUUUUCUGCUGAGGUUUUGGUAAAAGUUCUUUGGAAUAGGACAUCACAGAGGGUGAGAAUCCCGUCUAUGAUUGCGAUUUGUAGCUUUGUGAUACACUUUCAAAGAGUCGGGUUGUUUGGGAAUGCAGCCCAAAACGGGAGGUAAAUUUCUUCUAAGGCUAAAUAUUGGCGAGAGACCGAUAGCGAACAAGUACCGUGAGGGAAAGAUGAAAAGAACUUUGAAAAGAGAGUUAAACUAGUACGUGAAAUUGUCAAAAGGGAAGCGUUUAACACCAGUGUUGUUUUCUGAAAAUCAACCUCUGUUAGCUUUAUGCAUGUUUGUUUAGACCUAAUCAGCUAUCUUGCAUGUUCUAUUGCUUGCAGUGGUGCACUUUUCAGUUUACAGGUCAACAUCAGUUUUUUUUACCGUAAAAAAGUUAAAGAAAGGUAGCUCAUGGCUCCGGUCGUGAGUGUUAUAGUCUUUUUCCUAUGCGGUAGGAGAGACUGAGGUCUGCAGUGUAGGCUAUUUGGCUAGAUACUCAGGUGCUAUGUGAUACCAUUUCAUAAACAACUUGUUGAUUAUGUUUUGUCUAUUGCAUACUCGCUUGUACUAUCAUACCUACGCUUAGGAUGUUGACUGAUAUGUAGUCGUA